RNAcentral lists this ribosomal RNA (253 nucleotides) under uncultured bacterium. RNAcentral describes it as "partial 16S ribosomal RNA". It matches the Rfam family "Bacterial small subunit ribosomal RNA", at positions 524 to 776 of the family's 1533-position model. The record is from RNAcentral.
UACGGAGGGAGCUAGCGUUGUUCGGAAUUACUGGGCGUAAAGCGCGCGUAGGCGGCUUUGUAAGUUAGAGGUGAAAGCCCGGGGCUCAACCCCGGAACUGCCUUUAAGACUGCAUCGCUUGAAUCCGGGAGAGGUGAGUGGAAUUCCUAGUGUAGAGGUGAAAUUCGUAGAUAUUCGGAAGAACACCAGUGGCGAAGGCGGCUCACUGGACCGGCAUUGACGCUGAUGUGCGAAAGCGUGGGGAGCAAACAGG